This 492-nucleotide ribosomal RNA is filed under the name uncultured bacterium. RNAcentral describes it as "partial 16S ribosomal RNA". It matches the Rfam family "Bacterial small subunit ribosomal RNA", at positions 29 to 507 of the family's 1533-position model. The record is from RNAcentral.
AGUGAACGCUGGCGGUAGGCCUAACACAUGCAAGUCGAACGGCAGCACAGUAAGAGCUUGCUCUUACGGGUGGCGAGUGGCGGACGGGUGAGGAAUACAUCGGAACCUACUUUUUCGUGGGGGAUAACGUAGGGAAACUUACGCUAAUACCGCAUACGACCUACGGGUGAAAGCAGGGGAUCUUCGGACCUUGCGCGAUUGAAUGAGCCGAUGUCGGAUUAGCUAGUUGGCGGGGUAAAGGCCCACCAAGGCGACGAUCCGUAGCUGGUCUGAGAGGAUGAUCAGCCACACUGGAACUGAGACACGGUCCAGACUCCUACGGGAGGCAGCAGUGGGGAAUAUUGGACAAUGGGCGCAAGCCUGAUCCAGCCAUACCGCGUGGGUGAAGAAGGCCUUCGGGUUGUAAAGCCCUUUUGUUGGGAAAGAAAAGCAGCAGGUUAAUACCCCGCUGUUCUGACGGAACCCAAAGAAUAAGCACCGGCUAACUUCGUG